GUGAGGAAUAUUGGUCAAUGGGCGGAAGCCUGAACCAGCCAUCCCGCGUGAAGGAAGGCGGCCCUAUGGGUUGUAAACUUCUUUAGUACAUGAAGAACAGGAUCUACGCGUAGGUUUAUGACGGUAAUGUACAAAAAAGCAUCGGCUAACUCCGUGCCAGCAGCCGCGGUAAUACGGAGGAUGCGAGCGUUAUCCGGAUUCAUUGGGUUUAAAGGGUACGUAGGUGGCCCUGUAAGUCAGUGGUGAAAAUCUGCCGCUUAACGGUAGGUGUGCCAAUGAUACUGCGGGGCUUGAGUACAGUUGAAGUAGGUGGAAUGUGUAGUGUAGCGGUGAAAUGCAUAGAUAUUACACAGAACUCCGAUUGCGAAGGCAUCUUACUAAGCUGAAACUGACACUGAUGUACGAAAGCGUGGGGAUCGAACAGGAUUAGAAACCCCAGUAGUCC
RNAcentral lists this ribosomal RNA (445 nucleotides) under uncultured bacterium. RNAcentral's name for it is "partial 16S ribosomal RNA". It matches the Rfam family "Bacterial small subunit ribosomal RNA", at positions 354 to 796 of the family's 1533-position model. The record is from RNAcentral.